This 253-nucleotide ribosomal RNA is filed under the name uncultured bacterium. Its description in RNAcentral is "partial 16S ribosomal RNA". It matches the Rfam family "Bacterial small subunit ribosomal RNA", at positions 524 to 776 of the family's 1533-position model. The record is from RNAcentral.
UACGGAGGGGGCAAGCGUUAUUCGGAAUUAUUGGGCGUAAAGGGCGCGUAGGCGGCUAGAUGUGUCAAAGGUGAAAUCCCUCGGCUCAACUGAGGAACUGCCUUUGAAACUGUCUGGCUUGAGGCCGGGAGAGGGUAGCGGAAUUCCCAGUGUAGCGGUGAAAUGCGUAGAUAUUGGGAGGAACACCAGUGGCGAAGGCGGCUACCUGGACCGGUUCUGACGCUGAGGAGCGAAAGCAUGGGGAGCAAACAGG